GAGGGUAUAGCUCAGUGGUAGAGCACAUACGUAGCAUGCAGAAGGUCCUGGGUUCAAUUCCCAGUACCUCCA
Molecule: transfer RNA, 72 nt
Filed under: Camelus bactrianus (Bactrian camel)
Lineage: Eukaryota; Metazoa; Chordata; Mammalia; Artiodactyla; Camelidae
Also listed under: 1 other name
Rfam family: tRNA
About the family: Transfer RNA (tRNA) molecules are approximately 80 nucleotides in length.
Source: Rfam by way of RNAcentral